UACGGGGGGUGCGAGCGUUGUCCGGAAUCACUGGGCGUAAAGGGCGCGUAGGUGGUUUGAUAAGGGUGUGGUGAAAGUCCGGGGCUCAACCCCGGAUCUGCCGUGCCGACUGUCAAACUCGAGGGCUGUAGAGGCAGACGGAAUUCCGGGUGUAGCGGUGGAAUGCGUAGAGAUCCGGAGGAAGACCGGUGGCGAAGGCGGCAUCCUGGACCGGCAUUGACGCUGAAGCGCGAAAGCUAGGGGAGCAAACGGG
This 253-nucleotide ribosomal RNA is filed under the name uncultured bacterium. RNAcentral's name for it is "partial 16S ribosomal RNA". It matches the Rfam family "Bacterial small subunit ribosomal RNA", at positions 524 to 776 of the family's 1533-position model. The record is from RNAcentral.